GGAGGCGUAGCUCAGCCGGUAGAGCACUUGCUUCAGACGCAAGGGGUCACAGAUUCGAGUUCUGUCGUCUCCACCA
Molecule: transfer RNA, 76 nt
Filed under: Oscillospiraceae bacterium
Lineage: Bacteria; Bacillati; Bacillota; Clostridia; Eubacteriales; Oscillospiraceae
Description: tRNA-Leu
Rfam family: tRNA
About the family: Transfer RNA (tRNA) molecules are approximately 80 nucleotides in length. Their secondary structure includes four short double-helical elements and three loops (D, anti-codon, and T loops).
Source: RNAcentral